AUUGAACGCUGGCGGCAUGCUUUACACAUGCAAGUCGAACGGCAGCGCGGGCUUCGGCCUGGCGGCGAGUGGCGAACGGGUGAGUAAUACAUCGGAACGUGCCCAGUAGUGGGGGAUAGCUCGGCGAAAGCCGGAUUAAUACCGCAUACCACCUGAGGGUGAAAGCGGGGGAUCUUCGGACCUCGGGCCAUUGGAGCGGCCGAUGGCAGAUUAGCUAGUUGGUGGGGUAAAGGCCUACCAAGGCGACGAUCUGUAGCUGGUCUGAGAGGACGACCAGCCACACUGGGACUGAGACACGGCCCAGACUCCUACGGGAGGCAGCAGUGGGGAAUUUUGGACAAUGGGCGAAAGCCUGAUCCAGCAAUGCCGCGUGUGUGAUGAAGGCCUUCGGGUUGUAAAGCACUUUUGGCGGGAACGAAAAGGACUGUGCCAAUACCACGGUUCGAUGACGGUACCCGCAGAAUAAGCACCGGCUAACUACGUG
This 484-nucleotide ribosomal RNA is filed under the name uncultured bacterium. RNAcentral describes it as "partial 16S ribosomal RNA". It matches the Rfam family "Bacterial small subunit ribosomal RNA", at positions 29 to 507 of the family's 1533-position model. The record is from RNAcentral.